GGGUAGUUUGACUGGGGCGGUCUCCUCCCAAAGAGUAACGGAGGAGCACGAAGGUGGGCUAAUCACGGUUGGACAUCGUGAGGUUAGUGCAAUGGCAUAAGCCCGCUUAACUGCGAGAAUGACGGUUCGAGCAGGUGCGAAAGCAGGUCAUAGUGAUCCGGUGGUUCUGUAUGGAAGGGCCAUCGCUCAACGGAUAAAAGGUACUCCGGGGAUAACAGGCUGAUACCGCCCAAGAGUUCAUAUCGACGGCGGUGUUUGGCACCUCGAUGUCGGCUCAUCACAUCCUGGGGCUGAAGUCGGUCCCAAGGGUAUGGCUGUUCGCCAUUUAAAGUGGUACGCGAGCUGGGUUUAGAACGUCGUGAGACAGUUCGGUCCCUAUCUGCCGUGGGCGUUGGAAGAUUGAAGGGGGCUGCUCCUAGUACGAGAGGACCGGAGUGGACGAACCUCUGGUGUUCGGGUUGUGUCGCCAGACGCAUUGCCCGGUAGCUAAGUUCGGAAUUGAUAAGCGCUGAAAGCAUCUAAGCGCGAAGCGAGCCCUGAGAUGAGUCUUCCCUGACAGUUUAACUGUCCUAAAGGGUUGUUCGAGACUAGAACGUUGAUAGGCAGGGUGUGUAAGCGUUGUGAGGCGUUGAGCUAACCUGUACUAAUUGCCCGUGAGGCUUAACCAUACAACACCCAAGG
RNAcentral lists this ribosomal RNA (681 nucleotides) under Vibrio cholerae. Its description in RNAcentral is "partial 23S ribosomal RNA". It matches the Rfam family "Bacterial large subunit ribosomal RNA", at positions 2263 to 2925 of the family's 2925-position model. RNAcentral also lists the same sequence under 1 other name. Lineage: Bacteria; Pseudomonadati; Pseudomonadota; Gammaproteobacteria; Vibrionales; Vibrionaceae. The record is from RNAcentral.